This 460-nucleotide ribosomal RNA is filed under the name uncultured bacterium. RNAcentral's name for it is "partial 16S ribosomal RNA". It matches the Rfam family "Bacterial small subunit ribosomal RNA", at positions 338 to 795 of the family's 1533-position model. The record is from RNAcentral.
CCUACGGGUGGCAGCAGUGAGGAAUAUUGGUCAAUGGGCGGAAGCCUGAACCAGCCAAGUCGCGUGAGGGAAUAAGGCCCUACGGGUCGUAAACCUCUUUUGCCGGGGAGCAAGGGCCGGGACGAGUCCCGGUCCGGAGAGUACCCGGAGAAAAAGCAUCGGCUAACUCAGUGCAGGCAGCCGCGGUAAUACGGGGGAGGCGAGCGUUAUCCGGAUUUAUUGGGUUUAAAGGGUGCGUAGGUGGGAUUUAAGGUCAGCGGUAAAAAUUCGGGGCUCAACCCCGUCCGGCCGUUGAAACUGGGUGCCUUGAGUGGGCGAGAAGAAGGCGGAAUGCGUGGUGUAGCGGUGAAAUGCAUAGAUAUCACGCAGAACCCCGAUUGCGAAGGCAGCCUUCCGGCGCACUACUGACGCUGAGGCACGAAAGUGCGGGGAUCGAACAGGAUUAGAUACCCGAGUAGUC